RNAcentral lists this non-coding RNA (102 nucleotides) under Pediococcus claussenii. Its description in RNAcentral is "THF-I sequence". It matches the Rfam family "THF (Tetrahydrofolate) riboswitch aptamer". From Rfam's summary of the family: THF riboswitch presents a pseudoknot that joins P1-P2 and the loop of P3 and two THF binding. The record is from RNAcentral. Lineage: Bacteria; Bacillati; Bacillota; Bacilli; Lactobacillales; Lactobacillaceae. RNAcentral also lists the same sequence under 1 other name.
AAUGGAGUAGGGAAAAAUGCGUUAAGUGUUGGCAAGACGGAGAGUUGUUUGCCAAACGAAUGGAUUAAACAUCCAGCGGUAUUUUUCUCGCAUCUCGCCGUU